Daucus carota subsp. sativus is the source of this 120-nucleotide non-coding RNA. Lineage: Eukaryota; Viridiplantae; Streptophyta; Magnoliopsida; Apiales; Apiaceae. The record is from Rfam.
AUCCCAAGUAAACUCUCUAGUGUUUAUUUGAUUCAUGGGAGGCCAACAUAGACGAUGGGAGUUCGCUGGUAGCACCUUUACCAUUCAAGAGGUGUUCCAAUAGUACCUCACCAUACACAG